This is a long non-coding RNA of Xiphophorus couchianus (Monterrey platyfish), 191 nucleotides long. RefSeq lists it as uncharacterized. The transcript is spliced from 2 exons. The record is from RefSeq and is a predicted model, not a curated record. Lineage: Eukaryota; Metazoa; Chordata; Actinopteri; Cyprinodontiformes; Poeciliidae.
GGCAGAGCGGAGCUAAACACAGGCUGGUGGUCCUAGUGGAUGUGUGACCUCUGGGAGUCCAGAAGCUCCAGAUGGAUGGGCCUCAGUCUUCCAUGAUCCAGGAGAAACAUGCGGUCCUUCAUUUAGCUCUCAGAGGGACAGACGGUGCAGAACUCGCAUCAAUCAGUCCCAUUAAACGCUCUCACCUCCUG